GAAAAAGCAAGGAGGAAGGGAGUCUGAAGAAUUCUUUCUACACAGAAGAACGGUCAAGGAGCUUAAGUUUAUCUAAGAGAAGUUUACAAGAUGAUCUCCAUCCAUAUCAUUGUGUCUUGAAGAGGCUGGGGCUUUUGAGCAAAGGAGACUUAGACAAAACUCCCAGAGUUGCAUGGAUUACUGUAAGUAGCCCAGGAGAUUGCUUCAAGCCUUCCCAGUGAAAAAAAUCCAUUAUGACAUUUAUUUUACAAGUUGCAUGAGAAUUUAUAUUGCAAAUAAUGAGAGUCUUUUGCUCUUUAAGCUCUGGGCGACUUGGGAAUCUAUAGUGUUAACUGAGCCUUGUGAAACGCAACACUAAACUCUGGUAAGAGGCGGAGAUCGCCUCCAUUAGACCUCAUGUUGAUUAGCAUAUACUGAGAGAAGGGAGCUCCAGGGAAGAUGCUCCUAUAAAACAGACAGAAGAUCUUCUUUUUGGGUGCCUUGAUCUUAAGUGGUAUGACGGAAACUGUCAAAAGCAGGGUCCCUCUGUCUCUUUCAUAACAAAAUGUUUUUUACAAAUUGUUAAUUUAUUUUUUUACUGAAGCUCGUUCCAAGACCUU
This 599-nucleotide long non-coding RNA is filed under the name Struthio camelus australis. RNAcentral's name for it is "lncRNA (ENSSCUG00000006419.1)". The record is from RNAcentral. Lineage: Eukaryota; Metazoa; Chordata; Aves; Struthioniformes; Struthionidae.